GACGAACGCUGGCGGCGUGCCUAAUACAUGCAAGUAGAACGCUGAAGAGAGGAGCUUGCUCUUCUUGGAUGAGUUGCGAACGGGUGAGUAACGCGUAGGUAACCUGCCUUGUAGCGGGGGAUAACUAUUGGAAACGAUAGCUAAUACCGCAUAACAAUGGAUGACACAUGUCAUUUAUUUGAAAGGGGCAAUUGCUUCACUACAAGAUGGACCUGCGUUGUAUUAGCUAGUAGGUGAGGUAAUGGCUCACCUAGGCGAGGAUACAUAGCCGACCUGAGAAGGUGAUCGGCCACACUGGGACUGAGACACGGCCCAGACUCCUACGGGAGGCAGCAGUAGGGAAUCUUCGGCAAUGGGGGCAACCCUGACCGAGCAACGCCGCGUGAGUGAAGAAGGUUUUCGGAUCGUAAAGCUCUGUUGUAAGUCAAGAACGGGUGUGAGAGUGGAAAGUUCACACUGUGACGGUAGCUUACCAGAAAGGGACGGCUAACUACGUG
Molecule: ribosomal RNA, 497 nt
Filed under: uncultured bacterium
Lineage: Bacteria
Description: partial 16S ribosomal RNA
Rfam family: Bacterial small subunit ribosomal RNA
Source: RNAcentral